AUCUCCUGUUUACUAGACAGGCACUUUGACCAGCUAAGCCACAGCGCCACUGUUUUAAUUUUUCCUGAAAACGAUUAAAUUUAAUUCAUUUUCACCAUGUUGGAAAUCUAAAAAUGCUGUUAAACUUUUAAAGAUGGGGUCAAGAAUUAAACAGGAUCUUUUGAGACAGUCAGUCAAGCAUCAAACUACAUUUCCUUUGUUAGUACCCUCGUCCCUAUGAAACUGGAAUCUCGUUUGUAAACAAGGCAUUAUGGACACUAAAUGAAUAUUAUAGAGACGAAGGCCCUGCUGGGAUUUGAACCCAGGGUCUCCUGUUUACUAAACAGGCGCUUUAACCAACUAAGCCACAGAGCCCUUGGAUAUGCCUUUUAUUCCUAAAGAUCUUGAGUUUAGCUGUAUUUCACCAGGUUUUAAUGCACAAAAGUAAAAUGUAAUAUCUCACCAAGUUGGAAUAAUAAAAAAAGGAAGUCAAAACAUAGGUUAAAGGCACUGCUGGGAUUUGAACCCAGGAUCUCCUGUUUACUAGACAGGCACUUUGACCAUCUAAGCCACAGCGCCUCUACUUGAAGCGCUUAAACCAAAAACGAGUUGAACUUCUUUUCAAAAAAGUUUUAAUUAUGAAAAUGAAGUGAAAACACUGGGUUAAAGGCACUGCUGGGAUUUGAACCCAGGAUCUCCUGUUUACUAGACAGGCACUUUGACCAGCUAAGCCACAGCGCCACUGUUUUAAGUUUUUCCUGAAAACGAUUAAAUUUAAUUCAUUUUUACCAUGUUGGGAAUCUAAAAAUGCUGUUAAACUUUUAAAGAUGGGGUCGAGAAUUAAACAGGAUCUUUUGAGACAGUCAGUCAAGCAUCAAACCACAUUGCCUUUGUUAGUAGACUCGUCCCUAUGAAACUGGAAUCUCGUUUGAAACAAGGCAUUAUGAACACUAAAUGAAUAUUAUAGCGACGAAGGCCCUGCUGGGAUUUGAACCCAGGGUCUCCUGUUUACGAAACAGGCGCUUUAACCAACUAAGCCACAGAGCCCUUGGAUAUGCCUUUUAUUCCUAAAGAUCUUGAGUUUAGCUGUAUUUCACCAG
Gasterosteus aculeatus aculeatus (three-spined stickleback) is the source of this 1079-nucleotide long non-coding RNA. The record is from Ensembl. Lineage: Eukaryota; Metazoa; Chordata; Actinopteri; Perciformes; Gasterosteidae.